Molecule: long non-coding RNA, 1659 nt
Organism: Gracilinanus agilis (Agile Gracile Mouse Opossum)
Lineage: Eukaryota; Metazoa; Chordata; Mammalia; Didelphimorphia; Didelphidae
Exons: 3
Source: RefSeq, a predicted model, not a curated record
CAGAGUGCCAAGUGGAGGGGCAGGAGUAAAGAGAGAGAGCAGAGCACUAUAAAGGAACAAUUGGAGCAUAUGGACAUAUCGUGAAUAUAUGCAUGAUUUUGAUCAUAAGAAACGCUAGGUAUGAAGAAUGAACAACAGCAACAAUGAGGAGGAUAGAUGUGUUAGAUAUGAAGGAAAUAGAAUUAAUAAGGAUUGGCGACCGACUGUAUGGGGGGAAGAAAGUAGAGCCGUAAGGUUGUGAAAUUUGGGUAACUGGAGUGGGGUGGUAUUCAAUAGAAAUAAGGAAGUUAGGAAGAAGGGAUGGUUUAAAGGAAAAUAGUGAGUUAUGCUUUGUGUUUGAGGUGACUUUGAGGUGAAGAUGUCAAGUAGCCAGAGGUAAAUGUGGGACUGGAACUUUGGAGAGAGAUGAGUACUAGAUUUGUAUGUUGAGGAAUAUUAAAUUUUGGGGAGUUACUGAGAUAAAUGGAGGAGAGAAUAUACAGAAAAAGAAAGGAAGACAGUCUAGGUUAGAGCCCUGGGAUAGUUGUUUCUGAUGGUUAAUUAUUCCUUUGUAAAUUGAAUUAGAUCUUUUUCAUUAUAUGGGGUAAGUGAUGUCUCUGAUGAUGCUGAGGUUGUGAACCUUCUUGAUUGGGAAUUGAUACUCUCAGUAGUAGAAGAGAAGUUUAGAAUAGAGGUAGGUUUGGAGGAGAAGAAAAUGAAUUCUUUUUCUGAUAUGUUUAAUUUGAGAUGCCUAUUGAACAUCUAGUUUGACAUGUCCAUUAGGCAGUUCAUAUUGGACUGAAGCCUGAGAGAGAGAGAGGCUAGAAUUUUGGGUAUUCAGAUCUUGAAGGCAUCUGCUUGGAAAAGCUAAUUAAACCACUGAGAGCUAAUGAGAUUACCAAGUGGGAGAGUAUAGUGAAAAAAUAUAAGAAGGUCUGGGAUAAAGCUUUGCAGUUUAUAUUUAUAGUUAAUUGUUGGUGAUCCAGCAAAAGAGAUUGAGACAGAACAUUCAGACACAGAUGGAAAACUACAGCAUUAUGAAAAAGCAGAGAAGAGCCAGUAUCUAGCAGAUGAUGGUCAGUUAUGUAUUAAAUGCUGAAGAGAGCCAAAGAAAGGUGAGGAUUGACCAUCAUUAAAAGGUAUGUGAACAAAUGCCUGUCACUAAUAAUAAGAUAAAUGAAAAUCAAAACACUGAGUUUAUAUCUCUUACACAGCAGAUAGGCAAAGGUGGCAAAGGAUAGAGGCUAGUCAGUAUUAGGGGGAAUGUGAAAAGAUAAGCAUUGGUUGUUUUUGGUUUGUUUGUUUUUUUCCCCAGUUGACAAGCAUUUAUUUUCAUUCUUUUUCACUUCCCUUCCCAUUGGGAAUAAAUAAGUUAAAAGCCUUUGUUUCAUAACAAAUAUAUAAUAGUAAAAAAGACAAAAAAAAACCUUUUCACUGACUGUUGUUAUAGGGAAAUUAAGAAAUUAGCAAGUGAAGGUGACUGACAGGCAGAAAGCAGAAAAAAGGUUCCAGAACUUUGGAUGGGUGACUGGCUAAGUGUCAAUUACUCCCUGGACUUUCCCUUGGUUGGAGCUAUCUUUUUUUUCUCUUUGUAUCCUGCCUCGGUGAAAUCAACAGCCAUCAAGAGGUCAUUGGCUGGAGUUAGGUAGAGUCAUAGGUGAGACACAUGCUGGUGGACUG